This 508-nucleotide ribosomal RNA is filed under the name uncultured bacterium. RNAcentral's name for it is "partial 16S ribosomal RNA". It matches the Rfam family "Bacterial small subunit ribosomal RNA", at positions 28 to 523 of the family's 1533-position model. The record is from RNAcentral.
GAUGAACGCUAGCUACAGGCUUAACACAUGCAAGUCGAGGGGAAACGACAUCGAAAGCUUGCUUUUGAUGGGCGUCGACCGGCGCACGGGUGCGUAACGCGUAUCCAACCUGCCCACCACUUGGGGCUAACCUUGCGAAAGUAAGACUACUACCCAAUGCCGUCUCUAGAAGACAUCUGAAAGUGAUUACAGACUUAUCGGUGAUGGAUGGGGAUGCGUCUGAUUAGCUUGUUGGCGGGGUAACGGCCCACCAAGGCGACGAUCAGUAGGGGUACUGAGAGGAAGGGCCCCCACAUUGGAAAUGAGACACGGUCCAAACUCCUACGGGAGGCAGAAGUGAGGAAUAUUGGUCAAGGGGCGAGAGCCUGAACCAGCCAAGUAGCGUGCAGGAUGACGGCCCUAUGGGUUGUAAACUGCUUUUAUAAGGGAAUAAAGUGAGUCUCGUGAGACUUUUUGCAUGUACCUUAUGAAUAAGGACCGGCUAAUUCCGUGCCAGCAGCCGCCGUAA